AGUGAACGCUGGCGGUAGGCCUAACACAUGCAAGUCGAACGGCAGCACAGUAAGAGCUUGCUCUUACGGGUGGCGAGUGGCGGACGGGUGAGGAAUACAUCGGAAUCUACUUUUUCGUGGGGGAUAACGUAGGGAAACUUACGCUAAUACCGCAUACGACCUACGGGUGAAAGCAGGGGAUCUUCGGACCUUGCGCGAUUGAAUGAGCCGAUGUCGGAUUAGCUAGUUGGCGGGGCAAAGGCUCACCAAGGCGACGAUCCGUAGCUGGUCUGAGAGGAUGAUCAGCCACACUGGAACUGAGACACGGUCCAGACUCCUACGGGAGGCAGCAGUGGGGAAUAUUGGACAAUGGGCGCAAGCCUGAUCCAGCCAUACCGCGUGGGUGAAGAAGGCCUUCGGGUUGUAAAGCCCUUUUGUUGGGAAAGAAAAGCAGCAGGUUAAUACCCCGCUGUUCUGACGGUACCCAAAGAAUAAGCACCGGCUAACUUCGUG
RNAcentral lists this ribosomal RNA (492 nucleotides) under uncultured bacterium. Its description in RNAcentral is "partial 16S ribosomal RNA". It matches the Rfam family "Bacterial small subunit ribosomal RNA", at positions 29 to 507 of the family's 1533-position model. The record is from RNAcentral.